GCCGCCUUUCCACCUGAGGGCAGAGAAGAGAGGCGGAGAAGAGAACAGCAUGACUCCGGAGGGAGAGAGGAGAGGGAAAAGAGGAAGGGGAGAGAGGGAGAGGGGGGAGAAAGAGAAGGAGGAAAGGGAAGGGGAAAGAGAGAGGGGGAGGAAGGGAGAGGGGGGAGAGAGGGACGGGGUAGAGAGGGGAGAGAGGAGAGAGGUAGAGGGGUUAGGGAGGAAAGAGUAAGGGGAGAGGGAGGGAAUGGGAGAGUAGAGAGGGGGAAGGAGAGAGAGGGAGGAAGGGGAGGGGGGAAGGGAAGGGAAAAGAGGGGGAGGGAGAGGGGGAGAGAGGGACAGGGUAGAGAGGGGAGAGACAAGAGGGAGGGAAGAGUAAAGGGGGGAGAGGGAUGGGGUAGAGGGGGGAGAGAGAGGGAGGAGAGGGAUGGGGGAAAGAGGGAGGGAGGAGGGAAAGAAAGGGAGGGGAGAGGGAGGAAGGGAGAGAGAGAGAGAGGAGCUGAGCCUUCAAGCAGGAAUGUUUCUAAAAUGGAUAGAAACGAUCCUUCCAUGGUGGGGAAGGCAGGGAGAAAGCGGUGCUGCCCCUCAGCCCCAAUGCCGGCGAAAUCCCCCCCUUUUCAAACACCGCUCCUCCUUCCUCCGGUUGAUUCUGACGAUGCGAAAAAACAGGGCGCUUCCAUGAAGCCGAAAUCCUCUGCCUAUUUUUUCAAUUGCACCGGUUCAAAUCCUUCCGGGAGGGAGGCAAGAUUCCCGGCUUUCCACACGGUGCUCGGGGUGGGUGGGGAAAUCAAGGGCAGAGGCAGGAAGGACCCACAGCCAGAUCCUGAAGGUCCGAAACCUGCUCGUCCGAAACUGCCCCAAAGGGUGAAAGCUGCAGGCAGCCAUCGGCCCGGCCGAGCAGGAAGGGCUGAGUUGUUAACAACGGCUGAAAGCCGAGCCUGGAUACGUCCACCCUCCUUCCUGGUGAUGACCCAAUUCCUGAACCAGAGAUCCCAAAUAAUAAGAUCCCAAAGUAAAUAA
Molecule: long non-coding RNA, 1017 nt
Filed under: Laticauda laticaudata (blue-ringed sea krait)
Lineage: Eukaryota; Metazoa; Chordata; Lepidosauria; Squamata; Elapidae
Description: lncRNA (ENSLLTG00000015184.1)
Source: RNAcentral